RNAcentral lists this ribosomal RNA (543 nucleotides) under Sporobolomyces blumeae. RNAcentral describes it as "partial large subunit ribosomal RNA". It matches the Rfam family "Eukaryotic large subunit ribosomal RNA", at positions 62 to 618 of the family's 3401-position model. Lineage: Eukaryota; Fungi; Basidiomycota; Microbotryomycetes; Sporidiobolales; Sporidiobolaceae. The record is from RNAcentral.
AAACUAACAAGGAUUCCCCUAGUAGCGGCGAGCGAAGCGGGAAAAGCUCAAAUUUGUAAUCUGGCGCCUUCGGCGUCCGAGUUGUAAUCUCGAGAAAUGUUUUCCGUGUUAGACCGCAUACAAGUCUCUUGGAACAGAGCGUCAUAGUGGUGAGAACCCAGUACACGAUGCGGAUGCCUAAUACUUUGUGAUACAUUUUCGAAGAGUCGAGUUGUUUGGGAAUGCAGCUCAAAUUGGGUGGUAAAUUCCAUCUAAAGCUAAAUAUUGGCGAGAGACCGAUAGCGAACAAGUACCGUGAGGGAAAGAUGAAAAGCACUUUGGAAAGAGAGUUAACAGUACGUGAAAUUGUUGGAAGGGAAACACAUGCAGUCAGACUUGCUAUUCGGGGCAACUCGAUUGGCAGGCCCGCAUCAGUUUUUCGGGGCGGAAAAGCAUAGAGAGAAGGUAGCAGUUUCGGCUGUGUUAUAGCUCUUUAUUGGAUUCGCCCUGGGGGACUGAGGAACGCAGCGUGCUUUUAGCAUGAGCUUCGGCUUAUCCACGCUU